Pongo abelii (Sumatran orangutan) is the source of this 49-nucleotide non-coding RNA. Lineage: Eukaryota; Metazoa; Chordata; Mammalia; Primates; Hominidae. The record is from Rfam.
CAACAGGCUGUUUUCCUACAGCCACUAAUUAGUUAAAUAUAUAAAGAGU